CCAAAGGUCCGGGCCCCUCUGGCAGCCGAGGCGUCGGCUGCGAUGUCGGAUCGCCGUA
Brevundimonas sp. AAP58 is the source of this 58-nucleotide non-coding RNA. Lineage: Bacteria; Pseudomonadati; Pseudomonadota; Alphaproteobacteria; Caulobacterales; Caulobacteraceae. The record is from Rfam.